This 404-nucleotide ribosomal RNA is filed under the name Actinomycetes bacterium. RNAcentral describes it as "Actinobacteria bacterium partial 16S ribosomal RNA". It matches the Rfam family "Bacterial small subunit ribosomal RNA", at positions 355 to 776 of the family's 1533-position model. The record is from RNAcentral. Lineage: Bacteria; Bacillati; Actinomycetota; Actinomycetes.
AGGGGAAUAUUGGACAAUGGGCGCAAGCCUGAUCCAGCCAUGCCGCGUGAGUGAUGAAGGCCCUAGGGUUGUAAAGCGCUUUCACCGGUGAAGAUAAUGACGGUAACCGGAGAAGAAGCCCCGGCUAACUUCGUGCCAGCAGCCGCGGUAAUACGAAGGGGGCUAGCGUUGUUCGGAUUUACUGGGCGUAAAGCGCACGUAGGCGGACUUUUAAGUCAGGGGUGAAAUCCCGGGGCUCAACCCCGGAACUGCCUUUGAUACUGGAAGUCUUGAGUAUGGUAGAAGUGAGUGGAAUUCCGAGUGUAGAGGUGAAAUUCGUAGAUAUUCGGAGGAACACCAGUGGCGAAUGCGGCUCACUGGACCAUUACUGACGCUGAGGUGCGAAAGCGUGGGGAGCAAACAGG